This 253-nucleotide ribosomal RNA is filed under the name uncultured bacterium. RNAcentral's name for it is "partial 16S ribosomal RNA". It matches the Rfam family "Bacterial small subunit ribosomal RNA", at positions 524 to 776 of the family's 1533-position model. The record is from RNAcentral.
UACGUAGGGUGCGAGCAUUGUCCGGAAUUAUUGGGCGUAAAGAGCUCGUAGGCGGCCUGUCGCGUCGGAUGUGAAAGCCCGGGGCUUAACCCCGGGUCUGCAUUCGAUACGGGCAGGCGUGGAUUCGGUAGGGGAGAUCGGAAUUCCUGGUGUAGCGGUGAAAUGCGCAGAUAUCAGGAGGAACACCCGUAGCGAAGGCGGCACUCUGGGCCGGAACUGACGCUGAGGAGCGAAAGCGUGGGGAGCGAACAGG